GCGCCUCUAGCUCCGUUGGAUAGAGCGUCUGGCUACGGACCAGAAGGUCGGGGGUUCGAAUCCCUCGGGGCGCG
RNAcentral lists this transfer RNA (74 nucleotides) under Acidimicrobiales bacterium. RNAcentral describes it as "tRNA-Arg". It matches the Rfam family "tRNA". Rfam says of the family: Transfer RNA (tRNA) molecules are approximately 80 nucleotides in length. Their secondary structure includes four short double-helical elements and three loops (D, anti-codon, and T loops). Further hydrogen bonds mediate the characteristic L-shaped molecular structure. tRNAs have two regions of fundamental functional importance: the anti-codon, which is responsible for specific mRNA codon recognition, and the 3' end, to which the tRNAs corresponding amino acid is attached (by aminoacyl-tRNA synthetases). tRNAs cope with the degeneracy of the genetic code in two manners: having more than one tRNA (with a specific anti-codon) for a particular amino acid; and 'wobble' base-pairing, i.e. permitting non-standard base-pairing at the 3rd anti-codon position. Lineage: Bacteria; Bacillati; Actinomycetota; Acidimicrobiia; Acidimicrobiales. The record is from RNAcentral.